This 75-nucleotide antisense RNA is filed under the name Actinoalloteichus hoggarensis. RNAcentral describes it as "ASpks TB sRNA". It matches the Rfam family "ASpks TB sRNA". Lineage: Bacteria; Bacillati; Actinomycetota; Actinomycetes; Pseudonocardiales; Pseudonocardiaceae. The record is from Rfam by way of RNAcentral.
CUUGAUCGAGCCCAGCCACAGCGGCCGGUCCGGAUCGCGGUCUCGGCCGUACCCGGCGAGGAGCGCCUGUGCCUC